UGCUUAACACAUGCAAGUCGAACGGAAAGGCCCUGCUUUUGUGGGGUGCUCGAGUGGCGAACGGGUGAGUAACACGUGAGUAACCUGCCCUUGACUUUGGGAUAACUUCAGGAAACUGGGGCUAAUACCGGAUAGGAGCUCCUGCUGCAUGGUGGGGGUUGGAAAGUUUCGGCGGUUGGGGAUGGACUCGCGGCUUAUCAGCUUGUUGGUGGGGUAGUGGCUUACCAAGGCUUUGACGGGUAGCCGGCCUGAGAGGGUGACCGGCCACAUUGGGACUGAGAUACGGCCCAGACUCCUACGGGAGGCAGCAGUGGGGAAUAUUGCACAAUGGGCGGAAGCCUGAUGCAGCAACGCCGCGUGCGGGAUGACGGCCUUCGGGUUGUAAACCGCUUUCGCCUGUGACGAAGCGUGAGUGACGGUAAUGGGUAAAGAAGCACCGGCUAACUACGUGCCAGCAGCCGCGGUGAUACGUAGGGUGCGAGCGUUGUCCGGAUUUAUUGGGCGUAAAGGGCUCGUAGGUGGUUGAUCGCGUCGGAAGUGUAAUCUUGGGGCUUAACCCUGAGCGUGCUUUCGAUACGGGUUGACUUGAGGAAGGUAGGGGAGAAUGGAAUUCCUGGUGGAGCGGUGGAAUGCGCAGAUAUCAGGAGGAACACCAGUGGCGAAGGCGAUUCUCUGGGCCUUUCCUGACGCUGAGGAGCGAAAGCGUGGGGAGCGAACAGGCUUAGAUACCCUGGUAGUCCACGCUGUAAACGGUGGGUACUAGGUGUGGGGUCCAUUCCACGGGUUCCGUGCCGUAGCUAACGCUUUAAGUACCCCGCCUGGGGAGUACGGCCGCAAGGCUAAAACUCAAAGGAAUUGACGGGGCCCCGCACAAGCGGCGGAGCAUGCGGAUUAAUUCGAUGCAACGCGUAGAACCUUACCUGGGUUUGACAUGGAUCGGGAGUGCUCAGAGAUGGGUGUGCCUCUUUUGGGGUCGGUUCACAGGUGGUGCAUGGCUGUCGUCAGCUCGUGUCGUGAGAUGUUGGGUUAAGUCCCGCAACGAGCGCAACCCUUGUUCACUGUUGCCAGCACGUUAUGGUGGGGACUCAGUGGAGACCGCCGGGGUCAACUCGGAGGAAGGUGGGGAUGACGUCAAGUCAUCAUGCCCCUUAUGUCCAGGGCUUCACGCAUGCUACAAUGGCUGGUACAGAGAGUGGCGAGCCUGUGAGGGUGAGCGAAUCUCGGAAAGCCGGUCUCAGUUCGGAUUGGGGUCUGCAACUCGACCUCAUGAAGUCGGAGUCGCUAGUAAUCGCAGAUCAGCAACGCUGCGGUGAAUACGUUCCCGGGGCUUGUACACACCGCCCGUCAAGUCAUGAAAGUUGGUAACACCCGAAGCCGGUGGCCUAACCGUUGUGGGGGAGCCGUCGAAGGUGGGACUGGUGAUUAGGACU
Molecule: ribosomal RNA, 1430 nt
Filed under: uncultured organism
Description: partial small subunit ribosomal RNA
Rfam family: Bacterial small subunit ribosomal RNA
Source: RNAcentral